This 492-nucleotide ribosomal RNA is filed under the name uncultured bacterium. Its description in RNAcentral is "partial 16S ribosomal RNA". It matches the Rfam family "Bacterial small subunit ribosomal RNA", at positions 29 to 507 of the family's 1533-position model. The record is from RNAcentral.
AGUGAACGCUGGCGGUAGGCCUAACACAUGCAAGUCGAACGGCAGCACAGUAAGAGCUUGCUCUUACGGGUGGCGAGUGGCGGACGGGUGAGGAAUACAUCGGAAUCUACUUUUUCGUGGGGGAUAACGUAGGGAAACUUACGCUAAUACCGCAUACGACCUACGGGUGAAAGCAGGGGAUCUUCGGACCUUGCGCGAUUGAAUGAGCCGAUGUCGGAUUAGCUAGUUGGCGGGGUAAAGGCCCACCAAGGCGACGAUCCGUAGCUGGUCUGAGAGGAUGAUCGGCCCCCCUGGAACUGAGCCACGGUCCCGACUCCUACGGGAGGCAGCAGUGGGGAAUAUUGGACAAUGGGCGCAAGCCUGAUCCAGCCAUACCGCGUGGGUGAAGAAGGCCUUCGGGUUGUAAAGCCCUUUUGUUGGGAAAGAAAAGCAGCAGGUUAAUACCCCGCUGUUCUGACGGUACCCAAAGAAUAAGCACCGGCUAACUUCGUG